GCGGGUCUAAGUAUAAGCAUUUAUACAGUGAAACUGCGAAUGGCUCAUUAAAUCAGUUAUCGUUUAUUUGAUAGUACCUUUACUACAUGGUUAUAACCGUGGUAAUUCUAGAGCUAAUACAUGCUAAAAAUCCCGACUGUUUGGAAGGGAUGUAUUUAUUAGAUAAAAAACCAAUGCUCUUCGGAGCUCUUGGAUGAUUCAUAAUAACUUUUCGAAUCGCAUGGCUUCAUUGCCGGCGAUGGUUCAUUCAAAUUUCUGCCCUAUCAACUUUCGAUGGUAGGAUAGUGGCCUACCAUGGUUUCAACGGGUAACGGGGAAUUAGGGUUCGAUUCCGGAGAGGGAGCCUGAGAAACGGCUACCACAUCCAAGGAAGGCAGCAGGCGCGCAAAUUACCCAAUCCUGACGCAGGGAGGUAGUGACAAUACAUAACGAUACAGGGCCCUUUCGGGUCUUGUAAUUGGAAUGAGUACAAUGUAAAUACCUUAACGAGGGAACAAUUGGAGGGCGAGUCUGGUGCCACCAAACANAAA
Molecule: ribosomal RNA, 530 nt
Filed under: Citeromyces matritensis
Lineage: Eukaryota; Fungi; Ascomycota; Pichiomycetes; Pichiales; Pichiaceae
Description: SSU rRNA
Rfam family: Eukaryotic small subunit ribosomal RNA
Source: RNAcentral